Molecule: RNA transcript, 2069 nt
Organism: Haliaeetus leucocephalus (bald eagle)
Lineage: Eukaryota; Metazoa; Chordata; Aves; Accipitriformes; Accipitridae
Gene: VIM
Gene name: vimentin
Exons: 9
Source: RefSeq, a predicted model, not a curated record
GCGAGGCCGCCGCUCUUCUUCGCCCGCCGCGCACUCGAGCCGCCCCGCUCCGCUCCCCUCCCGGAUUACAAAGCCCGCGCCGCCGCCAUGAGCAUCAGCACUAAGAACUCCUCGUACCGCCGCAUGUUCGGCGGGGGCAGCCGCCCCAGCACCGGCACCCGCUACAUCACCUCCAGCAGCCGCUACUCGCUGGGCAGCUCCCUGCGGCCCAGCACCGCCCGGUACGUGUCCGCCUCGCCCGGCGGCAUGUACGCCACCAAGGCGACGUCGGUGCGGCUGCGGAGCAGCAUGCCGCCCAUGCGGCUCCACGACUCCGUGGACUUCUCCCUGGCCGACGCCAUCAACACGGAGUUCAAGGCGAACCGCACCAACGAGAAGGUGGAGCUGCAGGAGCUCAACGACCGCUUCGCCAACUACAUCGACAAGGUGCGCUUCCUGGAGCAGCAGAACAAGAUCCUGCUGGCCGAGCUGGAGCAGCUCAAGGGCAAGGGCACGUCCCGCCUGGGCGACCUCUACGAGGAGGAGAUGCGGGAGCUGCGCCGGCAGGUGGACCAGCUCACCAACGACAAGGCACGCGUGGAAGUGGAGCGGGACAACCUCGCCGACGACAUCAUGCGGCUGAGGGAGAAGUUGCAAGAGGAGAUGCUGCAGCGGGAAGAGGCCGAGAACACCCUGCAGUCCUUCAGACAGGACGUUGACAAUGCCUCUCUGGCACGUCUUGAUCUUGAGCGCAAAGUUGAGUCCCUGCAAGAGGAGAUUGUCUUCUUGAAGAAGCUUCAUGAUGAGGAAAUCCGAGAACUGCAGGCCCAACUCCAGGAACAGCACAUCCAAAUUGAUAUGGAUGUUUCUAAGCCUGAUCUUACUGCUGCCCUGCGUGAUGUUCGCCAACAGUAUGAAAGCGUUGCUGCUAAGAAUCUUCAGGAAGCUGAAGAGUGGUACAAGUCCAAAUUUGCAGAUCUCUCUGAAGCUGCUAAUAGGAACAAUGAUGCCCUGCGCCAGGCCAAACAAGAAGCUAAUGAAUACCGCAGACAGAUUCAGUCUCUCACCUGUGAAGUUGAUGCCCUUAAGGGAAGCAAUGAAUCCCUGGAGCGCCAAAUGCGUGAAAUGGAGGAGAAUUUUGCUGUUGAAGCUGCUAACUACCAAGACACUAUUGGCCGCCUGCAGGAUGAGAUUCAGAACAUGAAGGAAGAAAUGGCUCGCCAUCUCCGUGAGUACCAGGACCUGCUGAAUGUAAAGAUGGCUCUUGAUAUUGAGAUUGCCACCUACAGAAAACUGCUGGAGGGUGAAGAGAGCAGGAUUAACAUGCCUAUUCCAACCUUUGCUUCCUUGAACCUGAGAGGUAAAAACCAACAUUGAGUCUCAGCCGAUGGUUGACACUCACUCAAAGAGGACACUUCUUAUUAAGACUGUCGAAACUAGAGACGGACAGGUUAUUAAUGAAACUUCCCAGCAUCAUGAUGACUUGGAGUAAAGCUGAAGUGAAGAUGCAUACUUAUUAAUGCAGGAGAAAUUCUUACCAGCAUGAUUUAAAAAGUCCAUGUCUUAAAGGAAGAAACAGCUUUCAAGUGCCUUUCUGCAGUUUUUCCAUGAGCGCAAGAUUAUUAUGCUAGGAAAUAGGUCUUAGAUCUUGCAAACUGACUCUCCCUGAAGGAUUAGAGUUUACAAUGGAGUCUAGUUUACAAAUAGCAAUAUCUUGUGCUGCAAUACUGUUUUUAAGUAUCUGAAUUCAAUAAAACUGCUUUUUCCAGCACAGUAUGAGCAACCUGUCGCUACUUCAAUAAAUCUUUGGAAAAUGGCUCUUGAUGUGUUCUAAUUUGUUAACUUCAUGACUUUCUGGAAAGCCAUAACAAGGUAAUGCUGGAAUUACUAUACGGUUGACAUCUCCAGUACUGGUUGUAUGGAAUGCUGUUUUUUUCAGUUUAACUAGAUAAACUGUCUUACUCAUUUAUUGCUUAGGUUUUGGAACCAACUAAAAUGGACUAUAACUGGCAGAUGCAUAAUGUAUUAUGAUAUUUCUUAUCACUUGAAUAAAAUAUGAUACUUCAAGCUAAUAAAAAUUAAUCUUGCUU